GUGCUCGCUUCGGCAGCACAUAUACUAAAAUUGGAACAAUACGGAGAAGAUUAGCAUGGCCCCUGUGCAAGGAUGACAUACAAAUUUGUGAAAUGUCCCAUGUUAAA
This is a small nuclear RNA of Myotis daubentonii (Daubenton's bat), 107 nucleotides long. The record is from RefSeq and is a predicted model, not a curated record. NCBI's taxonomy places the organism in Eukaryota, Metazoa, Chordata, Mammalia, Chiroptera, Vespertilionidae.